Molecule: ribosomal RNA, 350 nt
Filed under: uncultured Enterobacter sp.
Lineage: Bacteria; Pseudomonadati; Pseudomonadota; Gammaproteobacteria; Enterobacterales; Enterobacteriaceae
Description: bacterial SSU rRNA
Rfam family: Bacterial small subunit ribosomal RNA
Source: RNAcentral
CUAACACAUGCAAGUCGAGCGGUAGCACAGAGAGCUUGCUCUCGGGUGACGAGCGGCGGACGGGUGAGUAAUGUCUGGGAAACUGCCUGAUGGAGGGGGAUAACUACUGGAAACGGUAGCUAAUACCGCAUAACGUCGCAAGACCAAAGAGGGGGACCUUCGGGCCUCUUGCCAUCAGAUGUGCCCAGAUGGGAUUAGCUAGUAGGUGGGGUAACGGCUCACCUAGGCGACGAUCCCUAGCUGGUCUGAGAGGAUGACCAGCCACACUGGAACUGAGACACGGUCCAGACUCCUACGGGAGGCAGCAGUGGGGAAUAUUGCACAAUGGGCGCAAGCCUGAUGCAGCCAUG